GUUGGCACAGCACUGAAUUCAAGGCCAGCAUACACUGUGCCAGCUGAUGGCUUUUUUGAGAGCCAGGCUGUUUCUGGAACACAUGAAGAUCCAGAACUUUCACUUUAUAUUAUGAAUAUCAAGUGGUGAGAAUGGCAGUUAGUUGAAACUAGAAAUCAACCACCAUCCUAUGCAUUCAAGGAGCAACAGAAAGGAAGAGUCACAAUAGGGGUCACACCCAGCAAUGACCUGUGUUAGGCCUGCAGCCUGUUCCUCGUGCUUCCUCAUGUUGCCAUACAGAGGCCUAAUGCAGGGGUUUUGGUGUCUUUUCUUCCCUAUGAUAUUCUGCACACACAGAAGAGAAUCUGAUUUUCUUCUCUCUCCCAGUCCCUUAAAUUCUGAAUACUGUACUCAUAUUUCUUGAGUUCCAAGUUGUGAAAAUAAUACCACACUUUUUUUGUCUUCUCACUAACAUGAGGAAAGCCAGGGGGUCCGCACAUGAGACUCCACUGUAAGUCACUGCUAGAUUCCAAAGGGUCAGAGCCAACAACUCUGGAGAGCAUGAGACUUGGGACGCUGCUUGGGUUUUGGUUUCCCCAUGAAUAAAAUGGAAUUGACUGACAGCCAAAGUGCUUUCCAGUUCUCAUAUCUUGAGAUUCUAAAUGAAAGUUUGUCAUUGUCAGCAUGGAUCAGAGGCAGGCUCUUAGAGAUGGCAUGGGGAGUUUUUGGCUUUGCACUGCAUAAGCAUGAAGUCUUGGUGUGAUCUCAGCUUCCCUGAGUAUGUGCAUUCCUGGUCCUUUCUUUGGGUCUCAACCACACCAGAAAAACUAAGACUCAGAGCGAGUACAAAACCAGUUCCGUUUCUGGAAUGGGAAAAUAAACAAGGAGAGAUAUGAAUUACAGUGGAU
RNAcentral lists this long non-coding RNA (887 nucleotides) under Marmota monax (woodchuck). The record is from RNAcentral. Lineage: Eukaryota; Metazoa; Chordata; Mammalia; Rodentia; Sciuridae.